RNAcentral lists this ribosomal RNA (253 nucleotides) under uncultured bacterium. RNAcentral describes it as "partial 16S ribosomal RNA". It matches the Rfam family "Bacterial small subunit ribosomal RNA", at positions 524 to 776 of the family's 1533-position model. The record is from RNAcentral.
UACGUAGGGUGCAAGCGUUGUCCGGAAUUAUUGGGCGUAAAGAGCGUGUAGGCGGCCAGGUAGGUCUGCUGUGAAAACUCGAGGCUCAACCUCGAGAUGUCGGCGGAAACCAUCUGGCUAGAGUCCGGAAGAGGAGAAUGGAAUUCCCGGUGUAGCGGUGAAAUGCGCAGAUAUCGGGAAGAACACCCGUGGCUAAGGCGGCUCUCUAGUACGGUACUGACGCUGAGACGCGAAAGCGUGGGGAGCGAACAGG